GCACGAGAAAGUUCCCGCAAGGGAGCGAGUAAAGUGGCAGACGGGUGAGUAACACGUGAACAACAUACCUACCUGCGGGGGACAACGGCCCGAAAGGGCCGCUAAUACCGCAUGAUAUCAUCGUGAGGCAUCUCGUGAUGAUCAAAGGUCGCAAGACUGCGGGUAGAUCGGUUCGCGUUCCAUUAGCUUGGCGGUGAGGUAACGGCUUACCGAAUUGGCGACAAUGGAUAGCUGGUCUGAGAGGAUGACCAGCCACACUGGAACUGAGACACGGUCCAGACUCCUACGGGAGGCAGCAGUGAGGAAUCUUCCACAAUGGACGAAAGUCUGAUGGAGCGACGCCGCGUGCGGGAUGAAGGCCUUCGGGUUGUAAACCGCUUUUGCAGGGGACGAUAAUGACGGUACUCUGCGAAUAAGCAUCGGCUAACUACGUG
RNAcentral lists this ribosomal RNA (434 nucleotides) under uncultured bacterium. RNAcentral describes it as "bacterial SSU rRNA". It matches the Rfam family "Bacterial small subunit ribosomal RNA", at positions 64 to 507 of the family's 1533-position model. The record is from RNAcentral.